Acanthosepion pharaonis is the source of this 112-nucleotide non-coding RNA. Lineage: Eukaryota; Metazoa; Mollusca; Cephalopoda; Sepiida; Sepiidae. The record is from the annotation of a GenBank genome assembly.
UUGCGGUCAAAUCACGUUGAAACACCGGUUUCCGUACGAUCACCGAAAUUAAGCAACCUCGAGCCUGGUCACUACCUAGAGAACUGACAGCUUGCGAAUACCAGGUGUUAUA